UGGGGGAUAUUGCACAAUGGGGGAAACCCUGAUGCAGCGACGCCGCGUGAGUGAAGAAGUAUUUCGGUAUGUAAAGCUCUAUCAGCAGGGAAGAAAAUGACGGUACCUGACUAAGAAGCCCCGGCUAACUACGUGCCAGCAGCCGCGGUAAUACGUAGGGGGCAAGCGUUAUCCGGAUUUACUGGGUGUAAAGGGAGCGUAGACGGCAUAGCAAGUCUGAUGUGAAAGGUCGGGGCUCAACCCCGGGACUGCAUUGGAAACUGUUAAGCUGGAGUGCAGGAGAGGUAAGUGGAAUUCCUAGUGUAGCGGUGAAAUGCGUAGAUAUUAGGAGGAACACCGGUGGCGAAGGCGGCCUGCUGGACUGUAACUGACGUUGAGGCUCGAAAGCGUGGGGAGCAAACAGG
RNAcentral lists this ribosomal RNA (404 nucleotides) under uncultured bacterium. RNAcentral's name for it is "bacterial SSU rRNA". It matches the Rfam family "Bacterial small subunit ribosomal RNA", at positions 355 to 776 of the family's 1533-position model. The record is from RNAcentral.